Molecule: non-coding RNA, 228 nt
Organism: Poecilia reticulata (guppy)
Lineage: Eukaryota; Metazoa; Chordata; Actinopteri; Cyprinodontiformes; Poeciliidae
Source: RefSeq, a predicted model, not a curated record
GCUGAUCAUCCAUAAGUGGAGCCAGUUUAAGAAAAACAAAGAUGGCGGAGGGCGAACUGAAGAGGAAAGAGAAACUGUCCAAACAUAGUCUGUUCGUUGACUCGGAGUGACAAGUGAAGUCGGCCGCCCUGAACAAAUCUCUGUUCAUCCUACUUGCCUCCCGUCGUCCCGCAGACCAAGAUGGCGGCUGAUAUGCUGGUAGACUCAGCAGCUUCUCUGAGGACUCCU